CUUGCUCUUCUUGGAUGAGUUGCGAACGGGUGAGUAACGCGUAGGUAACCUGCCUUGUAGCGGGGGAUAACUAUUGGAAACGAUAGCUAAUACCGCAUAACAAUGGAUGACACAUGUCAUUUAUUUGAAAGGGGCAAUUGCUCCACUACAAGAUGGACCUGCGUUGUAUUAGCUAGUAGGUGAGGUAAUGGCUCACCUAGGCGACGAUACAUAGCCGACCUGAGAGGGUGAUCGGCCACACUGGGACUGAGACACGGCCCAGACUCCUACGGGAGGCAGCAGUAGGGAAUCUUCGGCAAUGGGGGCAACCCUGACCGAGCAACGCCGCGUGAGUUAAGAAGGUUUUCGGAUCGUAAAGCUCUGUUGUAAGUCAAGAACGGGUGUGAGAGUGGAAAGUUCACACUGUGACGGUAGCUUAC
Molecule: ribosomal RNA, 419 nt
Filed under: Streptococcus thermophilus
Lineage: Bacteria; Bacillati; Bacillota; Bacilli; Lactobacillales; Streptococcaceae
Description: bacterial SSU rRNA
Rfam family: Bacterial small subunit ribosomal RNA
Source: RNAcentral